This 253-nucleotide ribosomal RNA is filed under the name uncultured bacterium. RNAcentral's name for it is "partial 16S ribosomal RNA". It matches the Rfam family "Bacterial small subunit ribosomal RNA", at positions 524 to 776 of the family's 1533-position model. The record is from RNAcentral.
UACGGGGGGAGCAAGCGUUGUUCGGAUUUACUGGGCGUAAAGAGCGCGCAGGCGGUCGUUCAAGUCGAGUGUGAAAGCCCCCGGCUCAACUGGGGAGGGUCACUCGAUACUGAUCGACUCGAAGGCAGAAGAGGGAAGCGGAAUUCCCGGUGUAGUGGUGAAAUGCGUAGAUAUCGGGAGGAACACCAGUGGCGAAGGCGGCUUUCUGGUCUGCUCUUGACGCUGAGGCGCGAAAGCUAGGGUAGCAAACGGG